Molecule: ribosomal RNA, 443 nt
Filed under: uncultured bacterium
Lineage: Bacteria
Description: bacterial SSU rRNA
Rfam family: Bacterial small subunit ribosomal RNA
Source: RNAcentral
GAUGAACGCUGGCGGCGUGCUUAACACAUGCAAGUCGAACGAAGCACUUUAUUUGAUUUCUUCGGAAUGAAGAUUUUGUGACUGAGUGGCGGACGGGUGAGUAACGCGUGGGUAACCUGCCUCAUACAGGGGGAUAACAGUUGGAAACGACUGCUAAUACCGCAUAAGCGCACAGGGUCGCAUGACCUGGUGUGAAAAACUCCGGUGGUAUGAGAUGGACCCGCGUCUGAUUAGCCAGUUGGUGGGGUAACGGCCUACCAAAGCGACGAUCAGUAGCCGACCUGAGAGGGUGACCGGCCACAUUGGGACUGAGACACGGCCCAAACUCCUACGGGAGGCAGCAGUGGGGAAUAUUGCACAAUGGGGGAAACCCUGAUGCAGCGACGCCGCGUGAGCGAAGAAGUAUUUCGGUAUGUAAAGCUCUAUCAGCAGGGAAGAAGAAA